AAAGGUAGCGUAAUCACUAGUUUUUUAAUUGAAAGCUUGUAUGAAUGGUUGAACGAGGUGAAGACUGUCUUUAUUUAAUUUAUAUUAGAAUUUAACUUUUAAGUGAAAAGGCUUAAAUUUAUGUAAUAGACGAGAAGACCCUAUAGAUCUUUAUAAUAUAAUUUAUAAUCAAAUUUAGGUUGGGUUAAGGUUAUGAGUUACAAUUAUUUUAUUGGGGUAAUAUAAAGAUUAAAUGAAUUUUUUGAAUUUUAAAACAAUGAUAAUUGAUUGAGUGAUCCAUUAGUAUUGAUUGCAAGAUUAAGUUACCUUAGGGAUAACAGCGUAAUUUUUUUUGAGAGUUCAUAUCGAUAAAAAAGU
RNAcentral lists this ribosomal RNA (357 nucleotides) under Megacephala regalis citernii. Its description in RNAcentral is "partial 16S ribosomal RNA". Lineage: Eukaryota; Metazoa; Arthropoda; Insecta; Coleoptera; Carabidae. The record is from RNAcentral.